UAAUUAUUAAACAUUUAAAAAACAAGAAUGUGUCCACAGUACACGGAUGCCCCACUCACACUAUCAUUUUCUAUGUUUAAAGGACUGUGAAAUUGGAAUAAAUUCUCUAAUUUGGCAUUAAAAUUAGAAUGAUCUUAUCAAAGGGAACAUGUAUACUAAGUUUCAAGUUGAUUGGACUUCUACUUUAUCAAAAACUACCUUGACCAAAAACUUUAACCUGAAAUUUGCACUAUCAUUUUCUAUGUUCAGUGAACCGUAAAAUUGGGGUCAAAACUCUAAUUUGGCAUUUAAAUUAGAAAGAUCAUAUCAUAGGGCACAUGUAUACUAAGUUUCAAGUUGAUUGGACUUCAACUUCAUCAAAAACUACCUUGACCAAAAACUUUAACCUGAAGCCAAAAACUUUAACCUGAAAUUUGCACUAUCAUUUUCUAUCAGUGAACCGUAAAAUUGGGGUAAAUCUCUAAUUGGCAUUAAAAUUAGAAAGAUCAUAUCAUAGGGAACAUGUGUACCAAGUUUGAAGUCGAUUGGACUUCAACUUCAUCAAAAACUACCUCGACCAAAAACUUUAACCUGAAGCGGGACAGACGGACGAACGGACGAACGAACGGACGAACGGACGCACAGACCAGAAAACAUAAUGCCCCUCUACUAUCGUAGGUGGGGCAUAAAAA
RNAcentral lists this long non-coding RNA (671 nucleotides) under Mytilus galloprovincialis (Mediterranean mussel). Lineage: Eukaryota; Metazoa; Mollusca; Bivalvia; Mytilida; Mytilidae. The record is from RNAcentral.